UACGUAGGGUGCGAGCGUUACUCGGAAUUACUGGGCGUAAAGCGUGCGCAGGCGGUUCGUUAUGUCCGUUGUGAAAGCCCCGGGCUCAACCUGGGAAUGGCAAUGGAAACUGGCGGGCUAGAGUGUGGCAGAGGGGGGUGGAAUUCCGCGUGUAGCAGUGAAAUGCGUAGAUAUGCGGAGGAACACCGAUGGCGAAGGCAAUCCCCUGGACCUGUACUGACGCUCAUGCACGAAAGCGUGGGGAGCAAACAGG
Molecule: ribosomal RNA, 253 nt
Filed under: uncultured bacterium
Lineage: Bacteria
Description: partial 16S ribosomal RNA
Rfam family: Bacterial small subunit ribosomal RNA
Source: RNAcentral